UACGGGGCUUAUGUCUUGUAAUUGGAUGAUGGGAAUUUAAACCUCUUCCAGAGUAACAAUUGGAGGGCAAGUCUGGUGCCAGCAGCCGCGGUAAUUCCAGCUCCAAUAGCGUAUAUUAAAAUUGUUGCAGUUAAAAAGCUCGUAGUUGAAUUUCUGCUGCAUUGCAUUUUCUCCUAUACGAGUUUUUGCAUUGUGGCUUAUUUCGGUUAUAAAAUUUAUUUUUAUUUCCGGAUGUUUACUUUGAGAAAAUUAGAGUGCUCAAAGCAGGCUUUUGCCUUGAAUAGUUUAGCAUGGAAUAAUAAAGUAGGACUUUGGUUCUAUUUUGUUGGUUUUAGGUACCAAAGUAAUGGUUAAUAGGAGGAGUUG
Molecule: ribosomal RNA, 366 nt
Filed under: Theileria capreoli
Lineage: Eukaryota; Apicomplexa; Aconoidasida; Piroplasmida; Theileriidae
Description: SSU rRNA
Rfam family: Eukaryotic small subunit ribosomal RNA
Source: RNAcentral